UAUUAUAUUUAAUAUAUUUUAUAUUAUCAGGGUAGUAUUAGUAAGUUCUUGAAACCCAAAGAAUUUGGCGGUGUUUUAGUCUUUUCAGAGGAAUCUGUCCUGUAAUUGAUAAUACACGAUUUGUUUUACUUGAUUUUGUUAUCAGUUUAUAUACCGCCGUCAUAAGAUUAUUUUUAUUUGAGAAUAAAAUUUUCUUGUUUUAUUUGUUAUAUAAUAUGUCAGGUCAAGGUGUAGCUUAUAAUUAAGUAGAGAUGGAUUACAAUAAUAUUAAUUAUUACGGAUUAUUAAUUUUAGUUUAAUUUGAAGGUGGAUUUGAUUGUAAAUUUAUUUUUGAUUUUUAUAUUGAUUAGAGCUCUAGAAUGUGCACAUAUCGCCCGUCGCUCUCGUUAUUAAGAUGAG
Molecule: ribosomal RNA, 399 nt
Filed under: Lebinthus luae
Lineage: Eukaryota; Metazoa; Arthropoda; Insecta; Orthoptera; Gryllidae
Also listed under: 1 other name
Description: partial small subunit ribosomal RNA
Source: RNAcentral